GGCGGUAAAUAAAGCAUUUCAGCGAAUGUCAACAAUUGAUAGCAUGGGCACAGAACAUGAAGGGCACAGUCUAGGGGCAGCUGACAGUCUAAGAGGGAGAGAUGAGCAGAGGAAGCCACAUACGGAUAGCAAUGAGGAAGAUAUGAUACAAAUGGAAAGGAAAGCUUAAUAUAUAAGAGGUUGAUAUAUUUACAAUUUACGAUGUCUUGAAAUGAACAUUUUAAAGGUAAGAAGAUCAAUUAGUACAUUUUCAGUGCUGUAAACCCCCGCCCAACAUUGAGCUCCAGAAGGUGGAUCACACAGAGCAGCCCUUCACUUAGAGGCAGGAGAGAAAAGGAAAAGAAGACACAGAGAGACUGAGUGCACACAGGGCCGAUCACAGCAGAGGCAGGGCCCAGGAGUCUAGAAGCAGUGUUUACCUUAAAGACAUCUACCAAUUACUACACUAGAAUGGUAUUGGAAUCUGCAUUUAGAGUGACUGAUUCAGGAGCUUAUAUUUGAAAAUGUUAGACCACACAAGCUGAGUUUGUCAAACUGUAGCAAAGUGAAUAUAAAUUAGACACUGAUCACUGAGGAUACUCUAAGGUGGAUUAAAUGGAUCUUUAAUCAGUCAACUGUUCAGAAUAGAGUGGGUUACAUCAAAUAGAUAAAUUAGGACGGUUGAGUUCAGUGGAUAAAAGAGAAGCAGACAGCAGUAGAUGAAAUGGAGGGUGAGUUGGAUAGAGAAGGGGAGAAAUAGGCAAAGAAGAUCGAAGUGCGGGUUCAGUAAGAAUUAGAGAAAGGAAGUAAAUGCAGCAAUACUAGGGAGGCCGGGAUCCCACUAUUUGUUUAGUUAUGGAGGUAGUUUUUGAGAAAUUUCCAGCAGCAGUGAUAGAUAUUUUGAUUGAGGGCAGCAACUGUCCUUUUAUGGUUAAUACGGGGGCCAGAUACAGCCCCAUGAAUCUUUAUGUGCCCACCUGCCAAAAAACUACACAGGUAAUGGGAUUUUCAGGAGAAAAACAAAACAUACCACUUUUUCAGAACCCCUUAGAGGUGUUCUCAUAUUUGAAAAUUCACACAUGUCAUUUUUGGGGGACGCUUAGAAUUAAAAAUCAUUGGGUGUGAAAACUUAUUUUGGUGUCUAACGUGAGCAAACAAAUCUUAGGUUUCCAUAAAUGUGCACAUAUAGUUUAACAAGGAUCCUAAAAUGAGGCUGAAAAGCACUGGUGCAGAGGUCUUAAGACCGGACUGGUGAAAAGAUUAUGAUUUUUGUUUAAAUUGGGAAAAAAUCCUCUAAGAAGAUAAAUCUAAAUUGAUACUGAUGGAUUAAACAAACUUUAUGUGGCCAAUGUCUGUCUGUCUGUCCUAAAUGUGGAAUGCAUGUGAGGUAGAAUGUGUGUGGUGAAGUUGGGAAUGAUUAAGAAUAUUUUUUGAUGUGACAUUAACAUGAUUUGCAUUUUUACAGGAUUGAGAAGGAGCACUGGGGGCAUAACAGAAGGGUAAUCGUAUCAAACAUGUUGCUCAGGGGCUCCACCUAUGAGAGGCCGUGACAAGACCAGAGCAGGUUGCUGUUGUAAGGUGUGAGGUAAUUUUUGGGUGUGGAGUGCAGCUGAUAUACUGUAGAUUAAUAGAUUAUACAGUAGAUUAGAAAAAUAAUUAAAUAUAUAAGUAAAUAUCCAGACAGAAGCAGAAUGGGUGUUUUUACUUUUUGGGAAACUAAAAUCUCAGACAGGGGCAUUACAUGAUUUUAAUUUAAAGGUAGUUUCAUUUUCAAUCAUUAGAAUUGCAUUAGAGAUUGAUUAGUUUCAUUUUUCUCUCAUUCGGAUUUCAUUAGAGAUUGAUUAGGGACAGGAUAAAUCACACUUCGAGCUGGAAGUGGACACAGCAUAUGGCCAAGAUACCCGCAGGAGCUCAGCAGAUUAGCGGGGUCAACUUUUAUAAACAAGGCUGAAGAGUUAAGAACAAUUUCGGUGUGACCUGACCCUGGGUUUUUUCAGCCUUCAGUUUUUAUCUAUAAUUAUUUUUAUCUGUGUGUAAUGCCGUUUGGAAACUGCCUAGGCACGAACUGAUUAAUUUGCAUCUCUAAUCAUUACUAACACUAACACUUUUCACUGUUCAUCUGGGCCUUACCUUCUUUGCAUGACUUGUUAAAUUCUGCUAACUUUACAAAUUUCUGUGAAUGAAGUGAUUAACUAUUGACUAAUUGAUGUACUUUUUGAUUGCUUUUUCCUGGUAACAAACCAGAGGGGUCAUUUACUUUUUCCCUGCUUGUAGAGAGUGACAGUGCGGCUGUCAGUAAGCAGGCAUGAUUAUUCAGAGGCACAUUUAAGGAGGAUCAGGAGAUCGUUUUGCUUAAACAUGUUCCUUUUUUCUUUUUCAGGCUGUGUUUGUAACAAUCCUUAAAUGUUAACAUUUUUUCUUCCAGGACAGGCUGACAAAAGUCUCAUCCUUCAUUGUGUUUUGUUUAAGAUGUGCAUUAACCCUUAUUUUCCCAACAGCUGCAGAAGUUCUGGCAUGUGAAAUGGACAAC
Long non-coding RNA from Cyprinodon tularosa, 2509 nucleotides. RefSeq lists it as uncharacterized. Lineage: Eukaryota; Metazoa; Chordata; Actinopteri; Cyprinodontiformes; Cyprinodontidae. The record is from RefSeq and is a predicted model, not a curated record. The transcript is spliced from 2 exons.